Molecule: ribosomal RNA, 479 nt
Filed under: Rahnella inusitata
Lineage: Bacteria; Pseudomonadati; Pseudomonadota; Gammaproteobacteria; Enterobacterales; Yersiniaceae
Description: bacterial SSU rRNA
Rfam family: Bacterial small subunit ribosomal RNA
Source: RNAcentral
UCCUGGCUCAGAUUGAACGCUGGCGGCAGGCCUAACACAUGCAAGUCGAGCGGUAGCACAGGAGAGCUUGCUCUCUGGGUGACGAGCGGCGGACGGGUGAGUAAUGUCUGGGAAACUGCCUGAUGGAGGGGGAUAACUACUGGAAACGGUAGCUAAUACCGCAUGACCUCGCAAGAGCAAAGUGGGGGACCUUCGGGCCUCACGCCAUCGGAUGUGCCCAGAUGGGAUUAGCUAGUAGGUGGGGUAAUGGCUCACCUAGGCGACGAUCCCUAGCUGGUUAGAGAGGAGGUCCAGCCACACUGGAACUGAGACACGGUCCAGACUCCUACGGGAGGCAGCAGUGGGGAAUAUUGCACAAUGGGCGCAAGCCUGAUGCAGCCAUGCCGCGUGUGUGAAGAAGGCCUUAGGGUUGUAAAGCACUUUCAGCGAGGAGGAAGGCGUUGUAGUUAAUAGCUGCAGCGAUUGACGUACUCGCAGAA